Molecule: ribosomal RNA, 253 nt
Filed under: uncultured bacterium
Lineage: Bacteria
Description: partial 16S ribosomal RNA
Rfam family: Bacterial small subunit ribosomal RNA
Source: RNAcentral
UACGUAGGGACCAAGCGUUGUUCGGAUUUACUGGGCGUAAAGGGCGCGUAGGCGGCUUGCCAAGUCAGGGGUGAAAUCUUUCGGCUCAACCGGAAAAGUGCUUCUGAUACUGGCGGGCUGGAGGGGGGUAGGGGCAGAUGGAACUUCCGGUGGAGCGGUGAAAUGCGUAGAUAUCGGAAGGAACGCCGGUGGCGAAAGCGAUCUGCUGGACCCCUUCUGACGCUGAGGCGCGAAAGCCAGGGGAGCGAACGGG